Molecule: RNA transcript, 1013 nt
Organism: Elephantulus edwardii (Cape elephant shrew)
Lineage: Eukaryota; Metazoa; Chordata; Mammalia; Macroscelidea; Macroscelididae
Gene name: protein phosphatase 1, catalytic subunit, alpha isozyme pseudogene
Exons: 1
Source: RefSeq, a predicted model, not a curated record
GCGGGAGGGCAGGCGGCAGCAGCCAGCCGGAGCUCCAGGACCGGAGCUGCGGUGCCACUAUGUCCGACACCGAGAAACUCAACUUAGACUCUAUCAUCGGGCGCCUGCUAGAAGUGCAAGGCUCGCGUCCUGGGAAGAAUGUCCAGCUGACCGAGAACGAGAUCCGUGGUUUGUGCCUCCAGUCCCAGGAGAUCUUCCUGAGCCAGCCCAUUCUUCUGGAAGUUGAGGCACCCCUCAAGAUAUGCGGUGACAUCCACGGCCAGUACUAUGACCUCCUGCGGCUGUUCAAAGUACGGUGGCUUCCCGCCAGAGAGCAACUACCUCUUCCUGGGAGACUACGUGGACCGGGGCAAGCUGUCCCUGGAGACUAUCUGCCUGCUGCUGGCCUACAAGACAAAGUACCCAGAAAACUUCUUUCUGCUCCAUGGGAACCACAAGUGUGCCAGCAUCAACCGUAUCUGUGGCUUCUAUGAUGAGUGCAAGAGACGCUACAACAUCAAACUGUGGAAAAUGUUCACCGACUGCUUCAACUGCCUGCCCAUCGCGGCCAUUAUGGACGAGAAGAUCUUUUGCUGCCACAGGAGGCCUGUCCCCUGACCUGCAGCCCGUGGAGCAGAUUCCGCGCAUCAUGUGGCUCACAGACGUGCCCGACCAGGGUCUGCUUUGGUCCGACCCCGACAAGGACGUGCAGGGCUGGGGCAAGAAUGACCGUGGAGUCUCCUUUACCUUCGGGGCUGAGGUGGUGGCCAAAUUCCUGCACAAGCAUGACCUGGACCUCAUCUGCCGGGCGCACCAGGUAGUGGAAGAUGGCUAUGAGUUCUUUGCCAAGCGGCAGCUGGUAACACUUUCCUCAGCUCCCAUUUACUGCGGUGAGUUCGACAACGCAGGCGCCAUGAUGAGUGUGGACGAGACACUCAUGUGCUCCUUCCAGAUCCUCAAGCCCGCGGAGUGGCCUGAAUCUCGGGGGGCGGCCCAUCACCCCACCCCGCAAUUCUGCCAAACCCAAGAAGUAG